This is a long non-coding RNA of Gasterosteus aculeatus aculeatus (three-spined stickleback), 545 nucleotides long. NCBI's taxonomy places the organism in Eukaryota, Metazoa, Chordata, Actinopteri, Perciformes, Gasterosteidae. The record is from Ensembl.
CACCUGAAGCGCGUCGCGCCUCCUGCAGGCGUCCGUCUGCGGCUCGGCGGGGUGUCGCUGGAAGACGUGGAGCUGCUCUCUGCACGCCGCCUCGAGCCUUUCUGACGGCGCUCAGGACGUCCAUGAGAGAAACAUUGAAGCUGAUUGAAACCGUGUGAGCUCAGCUCUUAAUCCAUAAACCAUCUCAGAUCCAUGAAGAGUUGAUCUGCAUCAAAUGAUCCAAACAUCUGCUCAACUUGAGCCGACGAAAAACUGUUUUAUAGAUGAUUGAGGUUUUUAUUGUGCUUUAUUGUUGCAGCUCCUCAAGAUCCUGAAGGUCUCUGAACACGUUUGGCUUUGGCUCGCCUCACAAAUCCACAACGCAAACAGCGGCGGCCGCGUCGGACCGGCUGCCGACACGUCUGCUCAGCGGCUGUUUAUUUAAACCUGCGCGGCCCCUUGCCGGGGGGGGGGGCUCCUCGGGGGCCUCCUCGGGGCCCCCCGGCUUGUUUGAGAAUCCGUUCACACCUGGGGCUUAAAUUACUGACACUAACAAUGCAAGAAAU